GACGAACGCUGGCGGCGUGCUUAACACAUGCAAGUAGAACGCAGUCGCGAACGGGUGAGUAACGCGUAGGUAACUGCCUGGUGGCGGGGAGUAACUAUCGGAUACGAUAGCUAAUACCGCAUACUACCAGAUGGACCUGCGUUGUAUUAGCUUGUUGGUGGGGUAACGGCACACCAAGGCAACGAUACAUAGCCGGCCUGAGAGGGGGAUCGGCCACAAUGGGACUGAGACACGGCCCAGACUCCUACGGGAGGCAGCAGUAGGGAAUCUUCGGCAAUGGAGGGAACCCUGACCGAGCAACGCCGCGUGAGUGAAGAAGGUCUUCGGAUCGUAAAGCUCUGUUGUUAAGGAAGCGGUACUUAACCAGAAAGGGACGGCUAACUACGUGCCAGCAGCCGCGGUAAUAC
This 407-nucleotide ribosomal RNA is filed under the name uncultured bacterium. RNAcentral describes it as "partial 16S ribosomal RNA". It matches the Rfam family "Bacterial small subunit ribosomal RNA", at positions 28 to 526 of the family's 1533-position model. The record is from RNAcentral.